GUGCUUACUAUGGCAGCACAUAUACUAAAAUUGGAAUGAUAUAGAGAAGAUUGGCAUAGUUACUGCACAAGGAUGGCAUGCAAAUUCGUGAAGCGUUCCAUAUUAAG
This is a small nuclear RNA of Ailuropoda melanoleuca (giant panda), 107 nucleotides long. The record is from Ensembl. NCBI's taxonomy places the organism in Eukaryota, Metazoa, Chordata, Mammalia, Carnivora, Ursidae.